AUGAUCCUCAUCGUUUUCACCGUGGAGAUUCUUAGCCACCACCGUGGAUUCAUCAACUCCACCUGUUCCUACUGCAUCAACCACGCUCCCUCUCAUCAUCACCCUCGUACUUCCACAGAUUCAGAUCCAACAAACCAGAAACGCGUCCCCACGGUGUUCUCUCCUGAAGCGUCAUUACCAGAUCUUACAUGUGCUCCUGAUCAAGCACGUGGUGCACCCCAUCUGUCAGCCGUCACAUCUUCAUCAGACUAUUAUCAUCAAAAUCCAACACACCAGAGCUUGCGCCUCUAA
Vicia faba (fava bean) is the source of this 291-nucleotide non-coding RNA. Lineage: Eukaryota; Viridiplantae; Streptophyta; Magnoliopsida; Fabales; Fabaceae. The record is from the annotation of a GenBank genome assembly.